UUUUGGAGCACUAACUAGACAUAAAGAGAAAAGGUACAAUUUACAACCAAAAGAGCAGGUUCUGAAGGUCCAACAAAAUGACCUGCUAUCAAGCUAUAAGCCUGAAAAUGAUAAAUAAUGAGAUGGUGAGUUCAACAUCUAAGUGAGUAGAUAACGUUCAAUAUACACACAUGAGGUGAUACAGCAAUGAGAAAUAUAUAUACAAGUAUGGCUUUAGGUUCUUAUGGAAAUGUUUCUCAAAUUGGCCAUAACAAGAAGAUCAUAUGGUAAAACUCGUCAGAAAAUCAAAAUGCAAUGAGCAUGAGGCUCCGUACUGUGGGAUGAUCAGUCCACACAGGUUGGUGACUCCCCCGACCAACUAGGGUUCAGAUACGAUGUGCACAAAGACUAACACUACCCUGUUAGCAUGGGUACUCUGACUGGCAUACCAUAGGUUCAUAAUCAAACAGACAUAUUCAUAUCUCAAGGCUCAACUCAUGACAUCAAUCAAAUAAGGAGCUAUCAAUUCAGAAUUCAAUUCAAAAUAUAUACUGGUUCAUAUCAAGAAUUCAUAUUCAAUAAUUGAUCAUGCUUUAUCAAAACAAGGAUAAUAAUCAACAUAUAUAUUAUCAAGAAGCAUGAUCCAAUUCAUAUUAACAAAUCAAAUAUUUAUAAUAUUUCUCAUGCAUAUGAAAAAUUAUCCACUCACCUGACUCGAAAGCAAACAGAAGUCAAAAGCAGACACCGAAGAAAAUCCUACUAACGUCCCGCCGGUAGAAUAUCAGGAUUAUCUGAAUAUAAAGGAGACAUAUUCAAGAAUGACUCAAAAAAAUAUAACCUAUUUAAUACACUUAUCUAAGGGUGUAUUCCAUAACCCUAUAUGUUUUUGAACUAUCUAGUUAUUUUUUCUAAAAACCCAACAUUUAACGGUUUUCCCGAAAUCUAAUCCAUAAUAAAACAAAUAAUAAAAUUUGUAAUAAUUCACUAAAUAAUCCUCAAUUAUUCAUCAAACCAAUCUGAAAAAGGUAAUAUUACAGCUAGGGACUAAUAUGUAAUUUAUCAUAUUUUUAAGGGUCAAAUUGCAACUUUUGUCAAAUUGAAGGACCAAACUAAAAUUAUCAUAAAUCCAUGACUAUACUGAAAUUCUGACUAUAAUUAAUCCUCAAUUCUGUCCAGAUCAUCUCAUUAUACUCCAGGGACCAUUCUGGAAUUUUACCAAAUUUUUAGGGUCAAAUUGGAGGACUAAAUUGAAAGUGUUAAAAUUUCAUAACUAUACAGGAAUUCUGCCCAUAAUUCAUAUGUUAUUCUGUUCAGAUUCUCGGAAUAGGCUCCAGGGACCAAUUUGCAAAUUUUUCAAAGUUUGGGGACUAAACUGUAAUUUUCCAAAAUUGGGGGACCAAACCGAAAUUUUGUCAUCUUCAACCUCAAACCCAGAAUUCUCACAGAUUACCUACUGUUCUUUCCAAAAUUCUAACUCAACAUUCACCAUUUACACAAUUCAUAACUCAAAAUCAUCACAAUCUUCCAUAAUCAACUCAUUAAUCAAUUACUCAUAACAAUCAACCUUAUAACAUUCAAUUUAAUUCAUCAAUUAAACCCAAAACACAACUUUUCAAAACCCUAACAUUCAUCAAAACUGAUAUUAAGUUCAAUUAACAUACAUUUAUACAUUUAACAACCUAAAUCUUACCUUUAAACUUAUUCUCUUCAACUCCUUUCUAUUUCCCUUCUAAUUCCCUCUUUUCUCUUCUUCCUCUUCUUUCUCCCUUCACUCCUGCCGGUUCUCUCU
This 1768-nucleotide long non-coding RNA is filed under the name Populus trichocarpa (black cottonwood). RNAcentral describes it as "long non-coding RNA (PTRI_LNC004093)". The record is from RNAcentral. Lineage: Eukaryota; Viridiplantae; Streptophyta; Magnoliopsida; Malpighiales; Salicaceae.